This 314-nucleotide long non-coding RNA is filed under the name Elaeis guineensis (African oil palm). RNAcentral describes it as "long non-coding RNA (EGUI_LNC017415)". Lineage: Eukaryota; Viridiplantae; Streptophyta; Magnoliopsida; Arecales; Arecaceae. The record is from RNAcentral.
UAUCUAGUGGAAGAGGUAGUAAUCCAUGUGCUUAGCGAGACUUCUCCGACGGUGUUGUGGUUAAAACUCGAGGAGUUGUACAUGGCGAAAUCUCUCAAACACUCUUUUCCUCUGGUGGUAGUUUUACUAGCUGCGGAUAAUUGAGGGACAGAGCGUGCAGGAGCAUCUCAGCCACUUCCAAAAGAUCCUCACUGACCUCCUCAGCGUUGGUGAGAAUGUUGAAGAGAAGACCAGGGUGCUGGUUUUGCUAUCGUCACUUCCACCUUCGUAUGAGUCAUUGGUGACUGCUCUUCUAAUGGGAAAAAGCACCAUCA